AUUGAACGCUGGCGGCAGGCCUAACACAUGCAAGUCGAACGGACUCUUCGGAGUUAGUGGCGGACGGGUGAGUAACACGUGGGAACGUGCCUUUAGGUUCGGAAUAACUCAGGGAAACUUGUGCUAAUACCGAAUGUGCCCUUCGGGGGAAAGAUUUAUCGCCUUUAGAGCGGCCCGCGUCUGAUUAGCUAGUUGGUUGGGGUAAUGGCCCACCAAGGCGACGAUCAGUAGCUGGUCUGAGAGGAUGACCAGCCACAUUGGGACUGAGACACGGCCCAAACUCCUACGGGAGGCAGCAGUGGGGAAUCUUGCGCAAUGGGCGAAAGCCUGACGCAGCCAUGCCGCGUGUAUGAUGAAGGUCUUAGGAUUGUAAAAUACUUUCACCGGUGAAGAUAAUGACUGUAGCCGGAGAAGAAGCCCCGGCUAACUUCGUGCCAGCCGCCGCGGUAA
RNAcentral lists this ribosomal RNA (450 nucleotides) under uncultured bacterium. Its description in RNAcentral is "partial 16S ribosomal RNA". It matches the Rfam family "Bacterial small subunit ribosomal RNA", at positions 30 to 523 of the family's 1533-position model. The record is from RNAcentral.